AUGUUUUAUUCUGCAGCACAAAAAAUAAUGUGUGUUUCAGCAGCCUAUAAUCAGUUCAUCUUUUGCAGGAGAGAAUUAAUUCUUUUCGAGCUGUUUUCCUGGAGGGUUCCAAGGUUGCUUCCGGCGAAGAGGCACACGAAGACGUUGAAAUCGAAGGCAACUUCCUUUACCCUUGUUUUCCUCUUAUAUAUGGUGUCAACCAACAUGGAGCCAAAUGCAACGCACCUAAAAAAGUGGAACCACUUUCAUCAAAACCAUUAUUAUUACAGUAUAUUUUAUGUUAUUUUGUUUUGUUUUAGUAUUAGUCUUUGUGUAAUGAUUUUUCCACCUUGA
RNAcentral lists this ribosomal RNA (333 nucleotides) under Triticum aestivum (bread wheat). Its description in RNAcentral is "partial small subunit ribosomal RNA". Lineage: Eukaryota; Viridiplantae; Streptophyta; Magnoliopsida; Poales; Poaceae. The record is from RNAcentral.